GUCUUCGUAGUGUAGUGGUCAGCCCGUUGGGCGCUUAUUCCAGAGGUCCGUGGUUCGAGUCCCGGCGAAGGCG
Molecule: transfer RNA, 73 nt
Filed under: Stegodyphus mimosarum
Lineage: Eukaryota; Metazoa; Arthropoda; Arachnida; Araneae; Eresidae
Rfam family: tRNA
About the family: Transfer RNA (tRNA) molecules are approximately 80 nucleotides in length.
Source: Rfam by way of RNAcentral